UCGGUCCCGGUUCACGUCCGGUACAGCAUUUGGGCGACCCGGGUCC
This is a regulatory RNA element of 46 nucleotides. It matches the Rfam family "L31-Actinobacteria ribosomal protein leader". The record is from Rfam.